Molecule: ribosomal RNA, 253 nt
Filed under: uncultured bacterium
Lineage: Bacteria
Description: partial 16S ribosomal RNA
Rfam family: Bacterial small subunit ribosomal RNA
Source: RNAcentral
UACAGAGGGUGCGAGCGUUGUCCGGAAUUACUGGGCGUAAAGCGCGUGUAGGCGGCUCGGCAAGUCGGGUGUGAAAGCCCUGGGCUUAACCUAGGAAGUGCACUCGAAACUGCCAAGCUUGAGUUCUGGAGAGGAAGGCGGAAUUCUCGGUGUAGAGGUGAAAUUCGUAGAUAUCGAGAGGAACACCGGUGGCGAAGGCGGCCUUCUGGACAGCAACUGACGCUGAGACGCGAAAGCGUGGGGAGCAAACAGG